RNAcentral lists this ribosomal RNA (390 nucleotides) under Cormocephalus nigrificatus. Its description in RNAcentral is "eukaryotic LSU rRNA". It matches the Rfam family "Eukaryotic large subunit ribosomal RNA", at positions 694 to 982 of the family's 3401-position model. Lineage: Eukaryota; Metazoa; Arthropoda; Chilopoda; Scolopendromorpha; Scolopendridae. The record is from RNAcentral.
CUGGAAUAAAAUCAAAAAACCCGAAGGCGCAAUGAAAGUGAAGGUCGGUGGUCUGUCCGACUGAGGCGGGAUCCGUUUCCGAGGAUAGCUCUCGUCCGAUCGUUUCGAUUUUUUUCUUUGCGAAAAGAGAGGAACGGUUUCGGCGGGCAUCCCGGCGGCGCACCGCCGGCCCGUCUCGACCGCUUAUCGUCGGCGAGGCGGAGCCAGAGCGCACACGUUGGGACCCGAAAGAUGGUGAACUAUGCUCGGGCAGGACGAAGCCAGAGGAAACUCUGGUGGAGGUCCGUAGCGAUUCUGACGUGCAAAUCGAUCGUCAGACCCGAGUAUAGGGGCGAAAGACUAAUCGAACCGUCUAGUAGCUGGUUCCCUCCGAAGUUUCCUCAGGAUAGC